UCAAUUCCCAUCCAGAGAUUCCAAGGCUUGCUCAAAUUGUUGUUGAAGAAUGUCAGGGUUUGCCGCUUGCUCUUAUAACUGUAGCACGUGCCAUGUCUAGUAGGAGGGGCCCUAGGGAAUGGCAGCAUGCAAUUGAUGAACUACAGAGUAAUCCGUUCAGAUUUGCAGGUAUGGGAAAUCUUGUCCUGCCUAUUCUGAGGUUUAGCUAUGAUAGCCUAAGUGAUGAUGUCCUCAAAAUUUGUUUCCUAUAUUGUUCUUUAUUUCCAAAAGAACAUAAUAUUAGGAAAGAUGAACUUAUUGAACUCUGGGUUGCUGAGGGAUUUUUAAAUAGGGCUGAUCCUCGAAAUGAAGGGGAAUAUAUUAUUGGAAGUUUAGAACUUGCAUGUCUACUAGAAAAGGGGGAAUACUCCGAAGAUUUUGUUGUGAUGCAUGACGUUAUUCGUGACAUGGCCUUGUGGUUAGCUUCUAAUGAGUGCAAGAUUGUGGUACUAGAAGAUGAUAAGUCUAGUCAACAGAACAAGUCUGAUGAUUUCAAAGAGGCUUUUAGAGUGUCAGUUUGGGGUUCUGGUGUUGAGAUUCUCCGUGAAGCACCGUCUUGUCCUCAGCUGCGAACCUUGCUUAUCAGGUUCAGCGAAUUGGAAAAAUUUCCAAGUAGAUUUGCUAAAUCUAUGCAUGCCUUGGCAGUUUUGGACUUGUCAUAUAAUCUUGAUUUGGUUAAGUUGCCUGAGGCGAUUGGUAAAUUGAUUAACUUAUGCUAUCUGAAUCUUUCAAACACAAGAAUAGGACAACUUCCGACUGGGAUUACAUAUUUGAAAAACCUGAAAAUUCUUCGAUUAGAUGGUAUGCGGUAUCUUGCAUUUGUACCUUGCCAAGUGAUAUCAAGUCUUUCGUCAUUACAAGUAUUUAGCUGGUUCUCAACUGAACUUGUUGAGUUGCAUUAUGUGGAUUCUACAAGUGUUUUGGCUGAGUUGGAAAGCCUGGAAAACAUUCACGAUAUAAGUGUUACCUUAUGUAAUGUGGAUGCAGUCAAUAGAGUCAAGUCCUCCCCCAAGUUACAAAGCUGUAUCAAAAGACUAGCGGUUGUACUCAUGGCUUCUUUCUUGCUCCCACUUGACUUAAGGAUGGAUCAUCUUGAAACACUUGAAAUAGAUCGUUGUUCUCUGGAGAGUAAAAAUGAUUAUUUUGGAGAUCAGGGAAGGACAAGGACCUACUGUUUCCGUAACCUUCGUCAUCUAUCUGUCAAAACCUGUCCCUGUAUGACAGAUUUGAAAUGGAUCAGAUACGCUCCAAACCUUCAAUUUCUUUAUGUAAGCUACUGUCCCAGAUUAUCAGAAAUAAUUGGCACUUAUGAAUCACCUGGGACUUCUGAAAUUGAAGAAAGUCAAGACUUCUUCUCAAACCUCAUGGUGAUUGAUCUUCGGCAUCUACCAAGUCUAACAAGCAUAUGUUGCGGAGUCGUGCCGUUUCCUUCCCUCCAAACUAUUUCUGUAAACGGCUGCCCAAGUUUGAGAAAACUCCCAUUAAACUCCGGAAGUGCAAAGAAUAGUUUGAAUGCAAUCCGUGGUAGUAGAGAAUGGUGGGAUCGGUUAGAGUGGGAGGACGAAGACACCAGGAAUGUUUUUGCAUCAAAAUUUCUUGAACUCUAAACUCAUCGUACGGGUAUGUUCAAACCUUUCUUUGAUCUCUUAUUUUCAUUUUGUUACCUUGAAAUUACUGUUAGAUUUGAAACUUCUUACUUUUUGUCAUCUCAUAUAUCAGCUUCAAAAUCAUAUAAUCUGUUAUGAUUCAUAUGAUUGUUAAAAGAAUCUAUGAAUUGAGAGUUUAGUAUUCCAAUAAUCCUUUGUUAAUCACGUCUCCAUUACUUUAGAUCUACGAUAACACGGAAGAGUGUUUUUUUUUUUCCUACUUAUGACUGUUUAGACUAUUUAUGUCCAAAAUUAUUUUUCAGGUAGCAGACUGUCUCCAUUGAAGACUGCUUGAAGAUUGGAGUUGAAGACUGAAUCAUCAAAAUGUUUGUACAAACUGUGUGGCUCCAAUUGGUGUUUAUAGCGUGUGAUGCAUCUUUUUUGUUAUUUACUUUUCCAUUGUGUUGGGUGUGGAAUUUGUUCCAAGUAGACACUGAGAGAUUGUACCAAACUUGUGGCCUGUGAUUGUUUUGUUCUUACAUAUAAUGAACCUGCUGCUGGUGCUUUACAUCUAUAUCGUCCAUAUAAGUUAUUCGAAACUGUUAAAAGUCUGUUAAUUUUAUGUUGGUGACGUGGCUGCUGAUGUGGCAAAGGCCACUGCUCAAGUUAGUUAAAGUUGUUACAGGUCUGUAACAAACUUGCAAACCCGGUGUAAAAGCAGAGCAGCAGCUGAUCAACAAUCAACACUUUCAAUCAUCAUUCUGGCGUACUGAGAGAGUUAUAGAGGUUCAUCUUUGCUUCAUUCCCUCCCUUAAUUUUCGUACUAUUUUUGAAUUCUUUAUCUAUUUGAUUCAUUAAGAAAUCACGUAUUGUAUUUAAAAUUAGGAUUAAUUUCAAUUAACACCACUCAAUGUUUAAGGAAACCUCAUUUUACGCUCAGACCUUUCAGAACUAUUUAUUCCGCCCCCCACUUCACAACAUUGUUAAGUCCAACGGUUGACUGUCAGUGCGCAAAAAGGAAAUUUAAAAAAAAAAAAAAACCCCUUUUUUUUACUUCAAUAAUUAAACACAAAAUGAAUUGACAAAUUUAUCCCAAAACAGAAGGCAUAGGGAUGUAAAAUGGAUCCUUGUGUGCUAGCAACCGAUUGCUGUAAGUGCAGGUGGCGGCGGCGCAAGAGGACGCACUCGACGGCAUUCGCCGGUGAAGGUACGCGGCGGUUGCUGUAAUUGCCCUUGAAUUUGAAAUUCAUUUUUAAGUUAUUCAAGGACGAAUUAGCAUUUAACAGACUGGGGUGGGGUCAAAUGAUACUACCCCUUAAAAUUAUUCAGUUUGAUGCACAAAAGUUGACCCUCAUAUAUGAGGAGUAAGUCUUCUCUGGUGGCUUUCAGUAAAUAUUUUUAUAAUCAUAGCACUUGCAUCUUGUAAGCAAUCCAUUAGUUUUAUUGUGAGGGCAUAUUACAAUUUCCAUUUUUUUGAACUGGAAAUUUGUUCUGGGGAUCUCUGACAGAUUCAUGGAUUGUGUGAGCCCAAUCUUGGAUAUUUUUACUCGAUUGUGGAACUGCACUGCAGCUAAAAGCUUUUACAUUAGGCAUCUUGAAGAUAACCUAAAGUCUUUGAGUGAAAAGAGAAGUAAACUUGAAGAUCUCAAUGAAGAUGUCAAGAGAAGGGUUGAGACAGAAGAGCAACAGCAACAGCGUAAGCGUAAGCAACUAGUGGAAGGGUGGUUGAAUGAUGUAGAAUCGGAAAUAAAAGAAGUGGAUGGUAUUUUACAGAAGGGAUACCAAGAGAUUGAAAAAAAAAUGUUUGGGAAGUUGUUUUACUAGAAACUGUUACUCCAGUUACAAGAUGGGAAAGAUCAAAGACGGUGACUGAGAAGAUCCCUAGAGUAACGCAACUAAGACGAAAAGGGCAAGAUUUUGAAAGUGUUUAUGUUACCUACGAGCUGCCACGACCUCCAGUGGAUGGGUUGGCGAUGGAGAAAACAGUGGGUAUAGACUCAACACUCAAUAAAGUUUGGGGAUGCAUUGAAGAUCAGAGUGAGCAAACUCUUGGGUUUUAUGGAACGGGAGGUGUUGGUAAGACCACCCCCUUAAAGAAACUUAACAAUAAGUUUCUGGAUAUGAAUCGUCAUCUUGAUCUGGUGAUUUUCAUUGCAGUGUCCAAAGAAGGAAAUUUAGGGAAAAUUCAAGAGGUAUAUGCAAAAAAUUGGACAUUUCAGAUUACAUUUGGAACAUGAAAGGGGAUUAUGAUAGACCUGUUGAGAUUUUGAUAAGCUUGAGAAUAAAAAAUUUUGUGCUUCUCCUAGACGAUGUAUGGGAGUGAUUAGAUCUCUCAAAAAUAGGAGUUUCUCUUUCUGACUGUCAAAAUGGGUCCAAAAUUGUGUUUACUACUCGCUCAGGGGAGGUAUGCAGUCAAAUGGAAGCUCAUAGGAAAUUUAAAAUGGAAUGUUUGUCACAGAAGCAGCCCUGGAUUUGUUUCGCUACAAGGUGGGUGAAGAUGUAUUCAACUCCCAUCCUGAGAUACCAACGCUUGCUCAAGCUGUCGUUGGAGAAUGCAAAGGCUUGCCACUUGCUCUUAUUACGAUAGCUCGUGCUAUGUCUAGUAGGAGGAGCCCCAGGGAAUGGCAGUAUGUAAUUGAUGAAUUACAGCGUAACCCAUCUAGAUUUGCAGGUAUGGGGAAUCUUGUCUUUCCUAUUUUGAGGUUUAGCUACGAUAACUUGACAGACGAUACUCUCAAAACUUGUUUCCUAUAUUGUUCCUUAUUUCCAGAGGAGAAUAACAUUAGGAAAGAUGAGCUUAUAGACCUUUGGAUUGGGGAGGGAUUUUUAAGUGAUUUCCGUAGCAUAACUACUGCACGGAAUCAAGGAGAAUAUAUUAUUGGAAGUUUGAAACUUGCAUGUCUACUUGAAAGUGGUGAAUAUUCUGAAGAUUUUGUUAAGAUGCAUGACGUUGUUCGUGAUAUGGCGUUGUGGUUAGCUUCUAAUGAGAGCAAGAUUUUGGUACAAAGGUCUAGUGAUUGCACAAAUAAAUCAGCUGAUAGCUGGAGGGAAGAUUUUAGAUUGUCACUGUGGGGUUCGAGCAUUGAAUAUCUCCCUGAAACACCUUGUCCUCAUCUACAAACUUUGCUUGUAAGGUUUACUGUGUUGGAAAUAUUUCCACAUAGAUUCUUUGAAUCUAUGGGUGCUUUGAAAGUUUUGGACUUGUCAUACAAUCUUGACUUAACUCAGUUGCCUGCGGAAAUGGGUGCAUUGAUCAAUUUACGCUGUCUUAAUCUUUCAAAUACAAGUAUAGAAGAGUUGCCAAGUGAGAUUAUGUAUUUGAAAAACCUGAAAAUUUUACUUUUAGAUGGUAUGCGGCAUUUUCACCUAAUUCCAGCAAGAGUAUUCUCAAGUCUUUUGUCAUUAAAAGUAUUUAGCUUGUUCUCAACUGAACUUAUUGAAUUGCAUCGUAUGCCUCCGAAUCAGACAACCAUCCUAGAUGAGCUAGAAUGCCUGGGAAAUCAAAUUUAUGAGAUAAGUAUCACUUUAGGUUCUGCCAGUGCCUUAUUUAAAAUCAAUUUCUCUUGGAAAUUAUGUAGCUGUAUUAAAAGACUAACAAUUAUGCACAAUUUGGACUCGCACUCCAUCGAUUUGAGGAAUAUGAUGCAUCUUGAAACACUUAAUAUAGUUGAAUGUUCUCUGGAGAGGGUAAAUCCUACUUUUAACGGAUGGACCAAUUUCCAUAACCUUCAUCAUCUGUCUAUCCGUGUAUGUCCUGUUAUUAGAGAUUUGACAUGGAUCGGAGAAGCUCCAAACCUUCAGUUUCUUUCUUUAGUAAACUGUCAAGCAUUAUCUGAAAUAAUAGAAUCAGCUGGGUCUUCAGAAGUUGCAGAAAGCCACAACUAUUUCGAAAAUCUAAUGGUGAUUGAUCUUGAUAGUCUUCCAAGCCUAAGAAGGAUAUGCCAUGGAACCAUGUCAUUCCCUUCUCUCCAAAAUGUAUCGGUAACCAACUGCCCAAAUUUAAGAGAACUUCCUUUUAACUUCGACAGUGCAAAGAACAGUUUAGUCUCAAUACGAGGAAGUGCAGAAA
RNAcentral lists this long non-coding RNA (5694 nucleotides) under Citrus maxima (pomelo). Its description in RNAcentral is "long non-coding RNA (CMAX_LNC000196)". The record is from RNAcentral. Lineage: Eukaryota; Viridiplantae; Streptophyta; Magnoliopsida; Sapindales; Rutaceae.